This 820-nucleotide ribosomal RNA is filed under the name uncultured Gammaproteobacteria bacterium. RNAcentral describes it as "bacterial SSU rRNA". It matches the Rfam family "Bacterial small subunit ribosomal RNA", at positions 47 to 864 of the family's 1533-position model. The record is from RNAcentral. Lineage: Bacteria; Pseudomonadati; Pseudomonadota; Gammaproteobacteria.
CCUAGCACAUGCAGUCGAGCGCGAACGUUUCUUCGGAAACAAGUAGAGCGGCGGACGGGUGAGUAACGCGUGGGAAUCUACCCAGUAGCGGGGGAUAACAUGGAGAAAUUCAUGCUAAUACCGCAUACGCCCUACGGGGGGAAGGAGGGGAUCUUCGGACCUUUCACUAUUGGAGGAGCCCGCGUGAGAUUAGAUAGUUGGUGGGGUAAUGGCCUACCAAGUCGACGAUCUCUAGCUGGUCUGAGAGGAUGAUCAGCCACACUGGAACUGAGACACGGUCCAGACUCCUACGGGAGGCAGCAGUGGGGAAUAUUGCACAAUGGGCGAAAGCCUGAUGCAGCCAUGCCGCGUGUGUGAAGAAGGCCCUAGGGUUGUAAAGCACUUUCAAUUGGGAGGAAAGGUUAACGGUUAAUACCCGUUAGCUGUGACGUUACCUUUAGAAGAAGCACCGGCAAACUCCGUGCCAGCAGCCGCGGUAAUACGGAGGGUGCGAGCGUUAAUCGGAAUUACUGGGCGUAAAGCGCGCGUAGGCGGAUAAUUAAGUCAGCUGUGAAAGCCCCGGGCUCAACCUGGGAACUGCAGUUGAUACUGGUUAUCUAGAGUACAGUAGAGGGUGGUGGAAUUUCCUGUGUAGCGGUGAAAUGCGUAGAUAUGGGAAGGAACAUCAGUGGCGAAGGCGGCCACCUGGACUGAUACUGACGCUGAGGUGCGAAAGCGUGGGGAGCGAACAGGAUUAGAUACCCUGGUAGUCCACGCCGUAAACGAUGUCAACUAGCCGUUGGGGGACUUGAUCCUUUAGUGGCGCAGCAAACGCAAUAAG